Molecule: non-coding RNA, 112 nt
Organism: Acanthosepion pharaonis
Lineage: Eukaryota; Metazoa; Mollusca; Cephalopoda; Sepiida; Sepiidae
Source: the annotation of a GenBank genome assembly
UUACGGCGAUACUACGUUGAAACACCGCUUAUUGUACGAUCACUGAAGUUAAGCAACAUCAAGCCGGAUCAGCACCUCAAUGGGUGACCGCUUGGAAUACCAAGUGUUGCAA